RNAcentral lists this long non-coding RNA (307 nucleotides) under Cyanistes caeruleus (blue tit). Its description in RNAcentral is "lncRNA (ENSCCEG00000014863.1)". The record is from RNAcentral. Lineage: Eukaryota; Metazoa; Chordata; Aves; Passeriformes; Paridae.
GUUUUUCUUCUUUAUUUGCAGUACUUCAGGAACACGAAAUAGUCUUUAAAGAGAUUGUUGGAAGAAGAACAACCCCAGGCGAGCGGUGUUGGGACGUGGGGAGAUGCUGCAAUUCUGUGCUUCCAGCUUGUGCAGUUUAGAUUCAGAUACUGGUGUAUUCACAGAUUUGAGUCUACAGAAAGUGCUUUACAGGCUGGGACUUUACCACCAAGGAGCAAGUUGAAGUUGUAGAAGAGUUUUUUACCAGGAAUUUUUGUAUAGGAAGCUCAGUAAUAAAGUCUAGCCUUGUUACCUGUCUGAUCUAUUG